AAGCAGCACAGUGUCGUUAUAAUGACGUCAAUUAUUGGACAUUAUUAGUCGGCGACGUCGUAGACCAAUAAGCGACGUCCAUAUGACGUGACAUUUCAGAUGUCAUUUUGACGUCGUCUAGAGACGUCUUUCGUACGUUUGUUUUCGGUCGUUUUAAGUGCUUUUUAAUCAACUAUAAAAAAAAUUAGAACGAAAGUUUAUUACAAAAACUAAGCCCUAUACGUGCUUUAUAAAAAAUUGUACAUUUUAAAUUGUUGUUUACCUAAAAUUUGGAUAUAAAUAUAAAUUCAUUAAUUAGCAAUGAAAAUACUAAACUGACGUUUUAAGUGGAAAUGCAAUUUGAAUUUAAAGAUGAAGAAACAAUUAUUUUUAGCAUCGAUUCCUGUCGAGGCUGUCGACCAAGAUUUAAUUUUGGCGCGAUUUUAAUCGAAAUGCCACGAUACGAUACGAGACGUGCAAGCGCAUGCGUGCUGGACUGCUGGUGUGAACGCGUGUGCGCGUAAUGGCGGACGGCAGCAAAAAGUUGUUUGGCGGUUUGUCGGCAUAUCUAUCGACUUUUGGAGGGAGAGAUUUUACUGGACAUACAAACCGCAUUUUAAAUUUUUUGUUCAUUUAUUCUCUUGCAACUAAUUGGAAUUUUUGUGGCAAACGAGGUGAGAAAAAGGCUUUUAAAAACUUAAACGUAAAGGAUGUGAUUAUUGGUAAGUGUUUUCACUUGUAGGUGCAUACUUAUUAUUAAUCUGAAACAACAUUUUUAGGUGCUGUAAGAAAAAGCUCCCCUCUAGUCAGUCAGAAAGAAAUAGAAGAUACCAUCAAGGUGUGGUUGAAACAUGCACCAGAGAAAUUGAAAAAGCAGCAGCAUGGCAACCCGUAAGAAAAAAAGUGUUGUUAGUCAAAGACAACUCUACAGAAGGAUGGCAGAAGCAAAUUUAGCACCUGUGAGUCAGAAUUGUUAUAAUACAUCUUUAAUAGUUAAUAAUGAUUCCAAUGAAUCAUCAAAUUCCGUUUUUUUUUGCUGGUUCAAUGUGUGAAAGUGAAAAUGACACCUGUUCCUCAAGAGAUUUAGAUUUUAAUGUAAACUCGCCUAAUGAAAAUUUGCUCUUCAAUGAUGCGACGUUAUACAACCAUUUGACUUCCUAUUCCAGUAACGUGCCCCCUAACGAUUUAUUUUCUAAUGAACCGCCGCCUAGCGAUUUGCAUUCGAAAUUGUCAAACUGGGCAGCUUCAAGGUACGUUCGACGUACAGUAGUUACUCAUCUCUUGCAUUAUCUCCACCAUUUAAAAUCGUUAGUUCAGUCUCCGAAUAAACCGUUACAACAGAUUAAUAGACGCUUAAAAGAAAUUGAAAUGACAGUGUACGAAAAACAUGACUCUACUUCACCUGAUGAUGAACACUUCUGUAAAUGUGAAUUGUCCCAUUUCUUAGGACCAACGCCAAAUUUCUCUUGCAAGCAGUAUAAAAAGCUUCAUUAUAAAGAUUUUAUUUUUUCUAUUGCAUCAUAUUCAGAAGCAAAUUGUUUUUGUCUUACCUUAGAAGGACUGGUUUUCAAAAUAGAAAAUGUAGUGGAUAAUAAUGGAGCAGUUUUUAUAUUAGGUAGGAGGUUUCAGGAUUACCGUUCAUUUUACAAAUACCCUGUCGACUCAAAAGAAUUUAUCCAAAAUUUAUCAGAGUAUAUCGAGUUAUUGCACUGCCACAAAGUUUUUUCGAAAUGUAUUGUUUUUCCUUUCAAGCAGGAAUGGUUGUCAUUUUCAUUAUUGCAUCAUUAGUAAUUCCUUAUUUCAACUUUUAUGUUCUAUAAGUGUAAUAGUAUGUAGUUUUUUAAGAUUUUGUAAUAAACUGGUAUUAAUUUGAA
Diorhabda carinulata is the source of this 1853-nucleotide RNA transcript. RefSeq lists it as uncharacterized. The transcript has 3 exons. Lineage: Eukaryota; Metazoa; Arthropoda; Insecta; Coleoptera; Chrysomelidae. The record is from RefSeq and is a predicted model, not a curated record.